RNAcentral lists this ribosomal RNA (381 nucleotides) under Triticum aestivum (bread wheat). Its description in RNAcentral is "partial small subunit ribosomal RNA". The record is from RNAcentral. Lineage: Eukaryota; Viridiplantae; Streptophyta; Magnoliopsida; Poales; Poaceae.
AUGUGGCAACGCCGAUGGACUGGGAACCCUGUGUGUUCCUUUUGCCAAAAGAUCGAGACAUCCCAGCAUUUAUUCUUUGGAUGCCCUGUCGCUAAGGUUAUAUGGCGAUCAAUUGGGGUUACUCUUGGGACUGACUUAUGUCCUCGAAAUUAUUGGCAAUUCUUUACUUGGUGUUACUCUUUUCUGCCAGGAUAUUAAUCCUUCUAUACUGUGGCGCUGGGUGCUGUUACUUGGGCCAUCUGGCUAGCCCGGAACAGGGCCACCUUUGAGAAAAGAAUAAAAACCCCCUUUGAGAUAGUUUUUACGGCAGUUUCUUUUCUUUUGUACUGGGCAGGUCUGCAGACUGAAGAAAACAUGAAGAGGCUUCGCGCUGGAGCAUAG